Molecule: microRNA precursor, 103 nt
Filed under: Chlorocebus sabaeus (green monkey)
Lineage: Eukaryota; Metazoa; Chordata; Mammalia; Primates; Cercopithecidae
Description: miRNA (ENSCSAG00000024906.1)
Source: RNAcentral
UGAGGCAGGAGAAUUGCUUGAACCUGGGAGGCGGAGGUUGCAGUGAGCCAAGAUUGUACCACUGCACUCCAGCCUGGGCGACAGAGCAAGACUCUGUCUUGAA